CUUACGUAACAGUAAUGUGCCACAUGUUCACAUUUGUAUGAAUCAUUUCCCUUUCUCAAGGUUUUGCAUUUUGUCUUCAAAAUUAAAAUUGAAAUAUUUUCUUAAAUAGUCCGGGUGACCUGAACAUGAGAGAAAUAUAUGCACCGAUAUAAGAACAAAGAUCGUCUGAAUCGGAGGAAAUAUUCUUGGAUCCCGGUGGUGAUGGCUUUUUUAGUGAAAUGAAAUCUUCCGAUUUUAUCAUUAACGGGAGACCAGGUGUCCUAUAAAUGUGAAGACAUGAGAACGAUGUUUUUAGGAAUGCUCAGAAGUAAUUACCACAUAAAGAAUACCAAGGAUGAGUCUACCAAAUUGUCUUUACAAAUGUCCAAAUCAGGCGGAAAUUCCAGACUACUCAAUGACAUGUUUUCGUGAUAAAUUAUAUUUAAAACUGGUCUAAUUUACUCGUGUGUCGUGUGCCCCCUUCAAGCCAAUCCUUCCGAUAAAAAACAGCGCUUUGUUUUAGCCGAUGCUUAUUUGUUUAUUAGAGAUUUAAAGAUAUAUUGAACCUAUCAUAAUAGAGGAGUUUUGCAAAGUCUUUUUUUAUUUCAUUUUCUAUUUAUUUUUUUCUACAAGGAAUCAAAUUUAAGAGAAUGCAGUUUGUUUAAAUCCAAUGAUAUUACUUUAGAAGAUGUAGUUUUAUAUAACUUAAGAUGUACUCGUACUUUUAUAAAUUAAUAUGUAAUUUUAUAAUAUGAUUUUAAAUCAGACUAACUGAUCUGCCAAAAAGAAAUAUAUCUCCUUUAAAGGUACUUCCAAUUAAUGGUAAAUGAAUAAUAAUAAUGUUUAUAUGAUAACACUGUUUUAUGAUUAAAUAUCAAUAUUGUUUUCAUAUUCCCUGUAAUUUUUGUUUCGUUUUAUGAUACUGUGCGUUUUGAAAAUUAAGGAUCACGCUUUUUUGAAAUAGAAGAAUAUUAGGAAUUAUUGAAAAAACAAUUUAGAAAUAUUUAAAAACCUUUUUCUCAACAACCAUUUUGUAAGGAAAGCUGAAAUUUGUGUGAAAGCAUCUUCAGCUACUCUAGAUUCAGUUUUGAAAAUCAU
Long non-coding RNA from Magallana angulata, 1077 nucleotides. RefSeq lists it as uncharacterized. The record is from RefSeq and is a predicted model, not a curated record. The transcript is spliced from 3 exons. NCBI's taxonomy places the organism in Eukaryota, Metazoa, Mollusca, Bivalvia, Ostreida, Ostreidae.